Molecule: long non-coding RNA, 439 nt
Organism: Lutzomyia longipalpis
Lineage: Eukaryota; Metazoa; Arthropoda; Insecta; Diptera; Psychodidae
Exons: 2
Source: RefSeq, a predicted model, not a curated record
AGCUGCAUGACACACAGCAGCAAAAAAUCUUCACAACCAUCGGACAUUGCACACACACAAACCAUCAGCGACUCUUGCACUCUCUUUGUGUCGUCUUCAUCUUUAGUGAUUUGGAUGCCAGCACAGUGUUUAGUCGUUUUUAUCUUGCUCUAUGUAGUUUUGCAUGAAUUUUUCUAAUUUUUAUUGUGAUGUGUCUUUUUCUGAGGUGGGAAAUUUAUUUCCUACAGUUUUUUGACAAAAAAACAGCCCCAUGCUGAUAGCCUGAAGAAGCCAAUAAACAUUUGGCGAAACGCGUCGCUGGAUAGCAUAAAUGCUGUUUUUUCUUUCCUUUUUCUGACUGCGUACACCGAUUGAAAAAAUUCAACAAAUUACAACAGUCGUGAAAUAUUCUACAAUUAAAAUUACCUUUAAAAGAAAUUAAAUUACAAAAUUGAGGUAA